CCCUUAGAUGUCCUGGGCCGCACGCGCGCUACACUGAUGUAUUCAACAAGUGUUACCUUGACCGAGAGGCCUAGGAAAUCUUUUAAAAGUGCAUCGUGAUAGGAAUAGAUUAUUGCAAUUUUUAAUCUUGAACGAGGAAUUCCUAGUAAACGCAGAUCAUCAAUCUGCAUUGAUUACGUCCCUGCCCUUUGUACACACCGCCCGUCGCACCUACCGAUUGAAUGGUCCGGUGAAGCCUCGGGAUUGUAGCAAUCUACCUUUAUUGGUGGUUUGUUGCAAGAACUUGUCUAAACCUUAUCAUUUAGAGGAAGGUGAAGUCGUAACA
RNAcentral lists this ribosomal RNA (325 nucleotides) under uncultured eukaryote. RNAcentral describes it as "partial 18S ribosomal RNA". It matches the Rfam family "Eukaryotic small subunit ribosomal RNA", at positions 1470 to 1796 of the family's 1831-position model. The record is from RNAcentral.